CGAAGGGGGCUAGCGUUGCUCGGAAUUACUGGGCGUAAAGAGCGCGUAGGCGAAUAUUUAAGUCAGGGGUGAAAGCCCGGGGCUCAACCUCGGAAUUGCCUUUGAUACUGGAUAUCUUGAGUUCGGGAGAGGUGAGUGGAAUGCCGAGUGUAGAGGUGAAAUUCGUAGAUAUUCGGCGGAACACCAGUGGCGAAGGCGACCCACUGGCCCGAUACUGACGCUGAGGCGCGAAAGCGUGGGGAGCAAACAGGAUUAGAUACCCUGGUAGUCCACGCCGUAAACGAUGAGUGCUAGUUGUCGGCAUGCAUGCAUGUCGGUGACGCAGCUAACGCAUUAAGCACUCCGCCUGGGGAGUACGGUCGCAAGAUUA
This 370-nucleotide ribosomal RNA is filed under the name uncultured organism. RNAcentral's name for it is "bacterial SSU rRNA". It matches the Rfam family "Bacterial small subunit ribosomal RNA", at positions 526 to 896 of the family's 1533-position model. The record is from RNAcentral.